RNAcentral lists this long non-coding RNA (402 nucleotides) under Callithrix jacchus (white-tufted-ear marmoset). RNAcentral describes it as "lncRNA (ENSCJAG00000070582.1)". The record is from RNAcentral. Lineage: Eukaryota; Metazoa; Chordata; Mammalia; Primates; Cebidae.
UUGGUCUUUACAAAUGCUUUUUCACCAUUACUAUGCAUUCCUGCCUCUGAAGUCCCCUUAAAUAUGAAGCCAAGAAUCUUCCCUUGUCCCAUGCAGCCCUUUUUCUCUGCAUGUCACAUGUCACCCUCCCUUUAUCGGCGGUUCCACUGAAACCAGCUUCCUCAUGCUCAAUCUAGAGACCAAAACUUACCUGAUAUUUUUCUUUUCUUUUUCAGCUCAGUUAAAAAAUAUUUCUCUGUUUUCUUCUUUAGGUGUACUACUAUGGACUACAUACAUCAGAUACUGAGAAAUAUGCAGAGAAGUCCCCAGGCCUUUCAUGUGUAUUCUGGAAGGAAUGCCUGCUUCCAAACAUGGGACUUCUUCAGGGACUGCCUGAUCCCUGCACAAUGCUCCUGCUCCUGA